UCCAGGGCUCGGAGGCGAUAGUAUCCGUCCCGCUCGCCGCCGCCGCCGCCGCCGCCGCCGCCCUCGCUCCGUGCUCGCGCCGCCGUCCUCGUCGUCCUCCGGCAGGCUUGGAGGUGCAGGUGUGAGGCGCGACCGCGGGAUAUCGUGUCCUCGAGGGCCACCCGACAUAUCCUCGUCGCUCGGAUCGCUCUCAAGGACGAAAAGAUAAUUAAGAGAGACCACAGAACACACAAGAAUGAGUGAAAAAGGAAAUAAAUAAAAAAAAAAACUAAAAAAAAA
Penaeus vannamei (Pacific white shrimp) is the source of this 279-nucleotide non-coding RNA. Lineage: Eukaryota; Metazoa; Arthropoda; Malacostraca; Decapoda; Penaeidae. The record is from RefSeq and is a predicted model, not a curated record.